ACUCGUGUUCUGCUGCUGGUCUCUGCACAGCAUUGGGGGCGAAAUGUGAUUCACCUCCUCCCAGAGAGCAGAUGAACCUUGGGGUGGUGUUUACAUUUGAAUGAGGUUGCUGACCUAAAUUAAAGGGAGAAUUGCAGGAACAUAUUGGUCCUACAUUCUGACCAGCGGACCUGCAGAAGACUCUCGUGUCAGAUGUGGACUUACCUCCAUAAAACUACUGCUCUUGAUCUACCGUUCCCAGCUCCUGCACUAAGCUGUUAUAGUCAGCCUUCCCCAAAUGUAGCACUUUUGUUCCGAGGGUUCUUUUGAAGACCAUGGCCUGGAGUUUUAUGCUGAUUUCAGUUCUUUGUGGGAAUGGGAUCCACUCCGAGGUCUCACGACUGACCGUUAUUUGAUAUACCAAGGACGCAGCCUAGAAGAUUAGCUCGCCUUUGGAUUUCCUGGAUUUCGUGGCUCUGGAGGCGGGCAGACUUGUGGUCAGUGCCUCUGCAAGGAAUCAAAGUGUAGUGGGAGACGGAAGAUUGAAAGCAGCAAGCCGGCUGCUGGCUGUGUGCCCAGAGACCCGGGUUCUUUGGGCACAGAGCUCGGAAAAAGUAAUGCAAGGAACUUUUAACAGCAUAAAUCAGCGAGUUGUUUGUUACGUCUCGCUGUGAAAUGGCGUAACCUCUUUUUCCCUUAUUGGAAGAGAAAGAGCCUGUGGUAUGUUAAAUUACUGAGUGAAUGAGUAGUCUUUGGGGUACUGCAAGAUUGUGUCUUUAUUGAUGCUUUGCUGCAUGCCUGAGUGCUCAGUGGGGGGCACUGA
Mobula hypostoma (lesser devil ray) is the source of this 802-nucleotide long non-coding RNA. RefSeq lists it as uncharacterized. NCBI's taxonomy places the organism in Eukaryota, Metazoa, Chordata, Chondrichthyes, Myliobatiformes, Myliobatidae. The transcript has 3 exons. The record is from RefSeq and is a predicted model, not a curated record.